RNAcentral lists this long non-coding RNA (1572 nucleotides) under Homo sapiens (human). Its description in RNAcentral is "HSALNT0380778". The record is from RNAcentral. Lineage: Eukaryota; Metazoa; Chordata; Mammalia; Primates; Hominidae.
GGCGUGCUGUAUUCUGAAUCUAGCCCUGAGUCAAAAGACACAAUGAAUUAUGACAAAAGUGGGUGUAUUCCAGAGAUGGGAGGUUAGAAAAUAAUACGAAAAUGAUAUUAUUCUGACCUUACUCUAUUACUCAGCCCCAAUUCCCCCACACUUUGUGAACCUUUUUGUGAGUACAAUGCUAAGGCAGUUUAAAAAAAUGCAACUAUAUACAAGUUCAUCAAUUCCAGAUGUAAAGUCAAUAGCAAUUCAAGUGAUGACCACAGCAGUAACCUGGAGACCUGCAGUCUCAAUGUAUCAGGUAAAUGACGGUCCUGAGGAACAGAUGUCAGGACAUCAGAUGUGAAGUUAAAGGAUCCAUCUAAAGACUAUCUGUGGCGACCAAAGGGAGCCACAGUGAGGCAGCCAAACGUGAGCACUGAGAUGAAGGAAAUAGGCCCGAAGCAGCCUGCUCAUGCUCUGAGACUGGAGGAAGAGGGUGAACGCAAUCUCUGGAGGGAAGCCCUGACUUCAGGCAGCUCAGGCACAGAAUGACCCAUUACACUGAGUAGAUACUCCCGUCUGCUAUCAGAUGCCUGCCUAGUGUCACAGCAUCUCAUCUGCAAGAUGACUCACAUCUCGUCUGUGAGAUAACCUACAAUCUGGGUUACAUGCAUCUGCAGCACCUCAUCUGCAAGAUAACCCCCAAUCUGGGUUAUAAGCACAGAACUCAUCUCCUCAGGAAAUGAUAUCAAAUAAUAAGAAAUAAAUUGCUUGCCUUGCAUAAAAAGAGCCAUUCAAUAAAUGUUGUAUUAUAAUCUGAGAAUUGAACAAGGCCUAUGAAAAAGUCCUGCAUUUAUGCCUAAAAGUUUAGUUCAUGACUUCAAAUAUUGAAACCCACUUUUUACAAAGUAGUAUGUGUCUUUGACUUUUAAAAAGUGCAUUUUACCGUGUUGGUUGAGAAAAUAUAAUAAUCUUAGUUAGACUCUUCCUCUAACCUCCCAAAUCAAAACCAAACCAAAAUAAAACAGCACUCUGAGAGGUUUAAGCUGUAUAUAAUGAAGCAAAAGUUGCUGUCUGUACUCCAGGAAUCUGGAGUCCCAGAGAAGGUGUGGACAUUGUUGGAAAUUGGCUUCUAGCCCACAAAUCUCUGCUCUGUCCAUGUAACUAGUGAUAACCAUAGCCAUAGUCUGCAGAUACACCAUUGUAGUGCAAUGAUGGAGGGAUAGCACUUAAAUAUGAAAACAGCAAUUAAGAGCAUAUUUACCAUUUUCUUCUUAGUAUAUAUCCUACAAGUGUGCAGGAUAGUUUGCUAGAUGCUAAAACAACGACAUAAAAAAUGACAGGAGGGAAAUGCAAAUAAAUAAAGGACAAGCCCCGAAAAGCAUUAAGGCAGUAACCAAGCUGAGUAAAUAAACACCAGUGCCUGUAUUUUUAUUAUUUUCUAAUACCUAGUAAUGUGAAGUACAGGUGAGAUAUGGAAAAAUAAGCUUAGUGUUGUGGCAGUUUCAGGGACAGAAUAUACACAAGAAAUCACUUAAAAUAUUAAGGGAAAGAAAGACAAAAUGCACAUGCCACAGAGAACAAACAGGCCAG